UGUUGGAGAGAAUAAAGGAAAAGCUGUAAUAUACUGAACUUCUAUAGUUAUGAAAUUUCGGUGGAUGUUAGGACCAUUGGAAUCGUUCCGGCGAAGUUUGAGAGUGUUCGGGGGUUUUCGGUGCGCGUUGGGCGCGAAAAUAGAACCCGAAAGGCUAUGUUGGACCAUGGACUAAAUUCGGCAUAAGCGUGGAUGAAAAGAUGGUUUGAACGUGCUCGAAAACAUGUUUUGGGGGUCUCGGUACGAUUUGAGAUGAAUCGGAGGCCUAACGAGCGAAAGCGAGUGAAAACGGAGAAAAG
This 299-nucleotide long non-coding RNA is filed under the name Ananas comosus (pineapple). Its description in RNAcentral is "long non-coding RNA (ACOM_LNC003457)". Lineage: Eukaryota; Viridiplantae; Streptophyta; Magnoliopsida; Poales; Bromeliaceae. The record is from RNAcentral.